RNAcentral lists this ribosomal RNA (346 nucleotides) under Burkholderiaceae bacterium. RNAcentral describes it as "bacterial SSU rRNA". It matches the Rfam family "Bacterial small subunit ribosomal RNA", at positions 1 to 347 of the family's 1533-position model. The record is from RNAcentral. Lineage: Bacteria; Pseudomonadati; Pseudomonadota; Betaproteobacteria; Burkholderiales; Burkholderiaceae.
AAACUGAAGAGUUUGAUCCUGGCUCAGAUUGAACGCUAGCGGCAUGCCUUACACAUGCAAGUCGAACGGCAGCGGGGGAGCUUGCUCCCGCCGGCGAGUGGCAAACGGGUGAGUAAUACAUCGGAACGUGCCCAGUAGUGGGGGAUAGCCCGGCGAAAGCCGGAUUAAUACCGCAUACGACCUACGGGUGAAAGCGGGGGACCGAAAGGCCUCGCGCUAUUGGAGCGGCCGAUGGCUGAUUAGCUAGUUGGUGGGGUAAAAGCCUACCAAGGCUACGAUCAGUAGCUGGUCUGAGAGGACGACCAGCCACACUGGGACUGAGACACGGCCCAGACUCCUACGGGAG